Long non-coding RNA from Hippocampus comes (tiger tail seahorse), 350 nucleotides. RefSeq lists it as uncharacterized. The transcript has 3 exons. Lineage: Eukaryota; Metazoa; Chordata; Actinopteri; Syngnathiformes; Syngnathidae. The record is from RefSeq and is a predicted model, not a curated record.
CACACACACCGAGUGGGUGAGCCAAGUGAUGCAACAACAAAGCAAUCCAACACAUGCGCGGCUACUGCUCAUUUGUGUGUGUGAGAGACAUUAUAUGUGCUAAUUAACGAGUGAGGUGGUGACAAUGGGGUCUCAUUUGUUUUUCUACCUCUCAGGGUUCAAGAUGAGAUGGUGACAUUUUACUCCCCAAGCCGCACAGUUUCCCCUUCCUCGGACAGUGACAGCGGGUGGAGUCUCCGGCGACACACCUGCUGGCGACGAUCAUCAUCCGUGAGGGGCAGCUGCAACGGCGCGCCAGCAGACAGCGGUUUCCAAUCACGCUGCAGUGGAGGAUGAAACAGGUGGCGCCU